RNAcentral lists this ribosomal RNA (258 nucleotides) under uncultured bacterium. RNAcentral describes it as "partial 16S ribosomal RNA". It matches the Rfam family "Bacterial small subunit ribosomal RNA", at positions 793 to 1055 of the family's 1533-position model. The record is from RNAcentral.
GUCCACACUGUAAACGAUGAUAACUAGGUGUCGGCCGAAUCUGGUCGGUGCCACAGCGAAAGCGUUAAGUUAUCCACCUGGGGAGUACGCCGGCAACGGUGAAACUCAAAGGAAUUGACGGGGUCCGCACAAGCAGUGGAGCAUGUGGUUUAAUUCGAUGCAACGCGAAGAACCUUACCCAGGUUUGACAUGCACUAGACGUACCUAGAAAUAGGUAUUCCCUUCGGGGCUGGUGCACAGGUGCUGCAUGGCUGUCGU